GACGAACGCUGGCGGCGUGCUUAACACAUGCAAGUCGAACGGAAAGACCCUGCUUUUGUGGGGUGCUCGAGUGGCGAACGGGUGAGUAACACGUGAGUAACCUGCCCUUGACUUUGGGAUAACUUCAGGAAACUGGGGCUAAUACCGGAUAGGAGCUCCUGCUGCAUGGUGGGGGUUGGAAAGUUUCGGCGGUUGGGGAUGGACUCGCGGCGUAUCAGCUUGUUGGUAGGGUAGUGGCUUACCAAGGCGUUGACGGGUAGCUGGCCGGAGAGGGGGACCGGGCAGACUGGGACUGAGACACGGCCCAGAAUCGUAGGGGAGGCAGGAGUGGGGAAGAUGGGACAAUGGGCGAAAGCCUGAGCCAGCAGUGCGGCGGGAGGGAUGAAGGGCUUAGGGUUGGAAAGCCCUUUGAACCGGGAGGAUAAUGACAGUACCGGGAGAAUAAGCGCCGGCUAACUCCGUG
This 463-nucleotide ribosomal RNA is filed under the name uncultured bacterium. Its description in RNAcentral is "partial 16S ribosomal RNA". It matches the Rfam family "Bacterial small subunit ribosomal RNA", at positions 28 to 507 of the family's 1533-position model. The record is from RNAcentral.